This 2187-nucleotide ribosomal RNA is filed under the name Triticum aestivum (bread wheat). RNAcentral describes it as "partial small subunit ribosomal RNA". The record is from RNAcentral. Lineage: Eukaryota; Viridiplantae; Streptophyta; Magnoliopsida; Poales; Poaceae.
AUGAGUAUCAUAAAAUCAAUCAUGGGUACUAGUGACAAGCCCAGCUCGGCUGAUUUUCACAACAUCAUGGCAAACACGGCUGGCUGCGGCGCCUGUAGUUCUCAGGACCCCAUGUCAAGCACCGCCGAGUACAAUCAUUCAGAGUUUGUUUUGCAUCCACCAACCCCUAUGAGCUACUCUCCUGCAGUGUCAAUUGUUUCCAGCAAGAUUGGUCCCCAACUCUGCAAUGUCAGCUGUGAUGACCCAUCAGCUGGUUGGCGCCUAAUCAGUGUGGCGGAGCACCCAAGGACCGACUCUGAUGUAACUCUCAGCUACAUAGAACAGAUGUUGAUGCAGGACACUGAUGACAAGGUCAGAGCAGCUCAUGGCGAGACUGCCAUCAAAACCGUGGAGGAGACCUUCUAUGAAGUUCUUGGACAAAAGUAUCCAGUUUUGCCUGACAUAUUACCACCUUGUGGCUGUGAUCGCCUCAAGAACCUAAAUGGCAAUGUCAGCAGGCCUAAUGGAAAGUUAUGCAGUAAUUGCUCUUUAUAUAUCAGCUCAGAUGAUUAUCACCCCAAUGAAAACUCACAAGCAUCUCAGGCUCCAUGGACUUUAUCCGCCAUUGUUGGAGAGGCAAAAAAAAUCCCUUUGGGUGCCGAAAAAAUAGAAAUUGGUUUGAACAUCAAUAGCCUGUCUAUUGCAAAAAAACCUAGCCGAGAUAAUCAUUCACCUCAUAUGAAUGAGAAAGAGACAAUCAAGGAUGCAUCAUUUGAAGUUCGAGGCCGAAAAGUUUUCCUAGAUAAAGAAAAUCUUGAUUUGUUAGAAGGACGGAGAAACAAGCAAACUGCUAUUUUUUCUGAUGAGCCGAUCCGAAAUGAGGCAUUUGACAGGGUUCUACUUUGCUCUGAGCUUAAACCCGUACAUGAAGAUAUUAUUUUUCAGCGAGCUAUGGCAGAUACAUCCACCAAGUAUGCAAUGAAGGACCAAGGAAGAAAACUUGAUAGGCAAACGACCAGAGGAAAAACACGAAAGAAGCAAGAGGUGGUGGAUCUCAGAACUCUCCUUAUCCAUUGUGCAGAAGCAGUAUUUAGGAACAACCAUAGCCUAGCAAGUGAAAUACUUAAAAGCAUAAGACAACAUUCUUCACCAAGUGGGGAUGAUACCCAGAGGCUAGCAUUUUACCUAGCAGAUUGCCUAGAGAUAAGAUUGUCUGGAAAUGGGAGUCAGAUAAACCAGAACUUCAUCGCUAUACCUAGGAAUGCAGAAUAUAUUCUAAAGCUCUUCCAUCUUGGUUUGACAGUAUCUCCCUACUUGAGAUCAUCAUAUUACUUCUCAAACAAAACUAUCCUUGAUGUCACAAAGGGAAAACCACAAGUGCACAUUAUUGAUUUUGGCAUUUGCUUUGGUUUUCAAUGGCCAUCAUUAUUGAAACAAUUUGCAGAUAGAGAAGGUGGGCCGCCUAAGCUUCGAAUUACAGGCAUAGAGCUACCCACGCCAGGUUUCCGGCCAGAUGAAAUGAAUAACAACACACGGCUACGAUUAAUUGAAUAUGCUAACAUGUUCAAAGUACCUUUUGAAUACCGGCAGAUCUCAUCAAAAUGGGAAUCCAUCACCAUCAAAGAUUUUAACAUUGACAAAGAUGAAUUGCUUGUAGUCAACUGCAUACACCGAAUGAAGAAUCUUGGUGAUGAGACAACAUCCAUCAAUAGCGCCAGGAAUAGGGUGCUCAAUAACAUAAGGAUGAUGAAGCCAAACAUCUUCAUCCAUGGAGUUGUUAAUGGAUCUUACAACACCCCCUUCUUUUUAUCACGGUUUAAAGAAGUCAUGUACCGCUAUACUUCACUGUUUGAUAUGCUUGAUAAAACGACUCCACGAGAUAACGAGACAAGAUUGAUCCUAGAGAGGGAUAUAUAUAAAUAUGAAAUUCUCAAUGCCAUUGCAUGUGAAGGAUCGGAAAGGAUUGAGAGGCCCGAGAGUUACAAGAUAUGGAAGGUAAGAGGCCUCAGGGCCAGGUUUGAGCAGCUUCCACUGAAUCCAACCAUUGUUAAUGGAAUACAACAUAUUGUGAGACAGAUUUAUCACAAAGAGGUUUUUGUGGACGAAGAAGACCAAUUCCUAGUGUUGGGAUGGAAGGGAAGGAUACUCUACGCAUUAUCCACAUGGAAACCAAGUGAGAUUGACAAUGAAGGCACUGAUGAUAUUUGA